RNAcentral lists this unclassified non-coding RNA (173 nucleotides) under uncultured Sebacinaceae. RNAcentral's name for it is "sequence contains ITS1". The record is from RNAcentral. Lineage: Eukaryota; Fungi; Basidiomycota; Agaricomycetes; Sebacinales; Sebacinaceae.
AUGAUUGCGAAUGGUUACCUUUGGUGCUGGCUCUUGCGAGCAAGUGCACGUUGGUGGCUUUCAUCCACUACCCUUGUGAACCUUUGGCCUCUUGCUAGCUUUGGCUGGCAGAGGAUUUUUACACACACACUCGAAUGUAAUGAAAACGUUUGUCGUGCGCAAGCACUAAUGUA